UUUCCAGACUCCUACGGGAGGCAGCAGUGGGGAAUAUUGGACAAUGGGGGGAACCCUGAUCCAGCGACGCCGCGUGAGUGAAGAAGUAUUUCGGUAUGUAAAGCUCUAUCAGCAGGGAAGAAGAAAUGACGGUACCUGACUAAGAAGCCCCGGCUAACUACGUGCCAGCAGCCGCGGUAAUACGUAGGUGGCAAGCGUUGUCCGGAAUUACUGGGUGUAAAGGGAGCGUAGGCGGGAAGCCAAGUCAGCUGUGAAAACUACGGGCUUAACCUGUAGACUGCAGUUGAAACUGGCUUUCUUGAGUGAAGUAGAGGUUGGCGGAAUUCCGAGUGUAGCGGUGAAAUGCGUAGAUAUUAGGAGGAACACCGGUGGCGAAGGCGGCCUGCUGGACGACGACUGACGCUGAGGCUCGAAAGCGUGGGGAGCAAACAGGAUUAGAUACCCCUGUA
Molecule: ribosomal RNA, 449 nt
Filed under: uncultured bacterium
Lineage: Bacteria
Description: bacterial SSU rRNA
Rfam family: Bacterial small subunit ribosomal RNA
Source: RNAcentral